UACGGAGGAUGCAAGCGUUAUCCGGAUUCAUUGGGUUUAAAGGGUGCGUAGGCGGCUUUUUAAGUCAGUGGUGAAAUCCUGCCGCUUAACGGUAGAAUUGCCAUUGAUACUGAAGAGCUUGAGUACAAUUGAGGUAAGCGGAAUGUGUAGUGUAGCGGUGAAAUGCUUAGAUAUUACACAGAACACCAAUUGCGAAGGCAGCUUACUAAACUGUUACUGACGCUGAUGCACGAAAGCGUGGGGAGCGAACAGGAUUAGAUACCCUGGUAGUCCACGCCGUAAACGAUGAUCACUCGCUGUAUGCGAUACACAGUAUGCGGCCAAGCGAAAGCAUUAAGUGAUCCACCUGGGGAGUACGAUCGCAAGGUUGAA
Molecule: ribosomal RNA, 372 nt
Filed under: uncultured bacterium
Lineage: Bacteria
Description: bacterial SSU rRNA
Rfam family: Bacterial small subunit ribosomal RNA
Source: RNAcentral